Molecule: transfer RNA, 73 nt
Filed under: Patescibacteria group bacterium
Lineage: Bacteria
Description: tRNA-Thr
Rfam family: tRNA
About the family: Transfer RNA (tRNA) molecules are approximately 80 nucleotides in length. Their secondary structure includes four short double-helical elements and three loops (D, anti-codon, and T loops). Further hydrogen bonds mediate the characteristic L-shaped molecular structure. tRNAs have two regions of fundamental functional importance: the anti-codon, which is responsible for specific mRNA codon recognition, and the 3' end, to which the tRNAs corresponding amino acid is attached (by aminoacyl-tRNA synthetases). tRNAs cope with the degeneracy of the genetic code in two manners: having more than one tRNA (with a specific anti-codon) for a particular amino acid; and 'wobble' base-pairing, i.e. permitting non-standard base-pairing at the 3rd anti-codon position.
Source: RNAcentral
GCCUUCGUAGCUCAGUUGGAAGAGCGCCACUCUCGUAAAGUGGAGGUCCCGGGUUCAACUCCCGGCGAAGGCU